UUAGCCUGCCGAUAUGAUGAAUUACAUUGACAUGCAGAUGUUGAACAAUCCUUAUAUUCCCAGGAUGAACUCCAUUUAGUCUUGAGCCUAGGUUAAUAUCAGACUCAUGUGACCUGGGUAAUCUUCAUGAGAUGUCAGUUGAGCCCGGAAAGGCAGUGCGAAUACAGAAGCACAGAGCCAGGUAAAGUCUCUGCUAAAUAAGCAGUUAAAGUGGUAACCAAGACAACCAGCUUACAGGACCAGACCCACCACAAUUCACGUGACAUUGGUGUCUUCCAGAAUUGUCCCAUUCAAACCACAUCUUCAAGCAUCCUUGGGAGAUUGGGUGGAGGAGAACAAACCACAGCAACAGUAAAUCCUUUGUAGUCCUAAGAGAAAAG
Molecule: long non-coding RNA, 380 nt
Organism: Choloepus didactylus (southern two-toed sloth)
Lineage: Eukaryota; Metazoa; Chordata; Mammalia; Pilosa; Megalonychidae
Exons: 3
Source: RefSeq, a predicted model, not a curated record